UGGGGAAUUUUGGACAAUGGGCGAAAGCCUGAUCCAGCAAUGCCGCGUGUGUGAAGAAGGCCUUCGGGUUGUAAAGCACUUUUGUCCGGAAAGAAAUCCUCUGGGUUAAUACCUCGGGGGGAUGACGGUACCGGAAGAAUAAGCACCGGCUAACUACGUGCCAGCAGCCGCGGUAAUACGUAGGGUGCAAGCGUUAAUCGGAAUUACUGGGCGUAAAGCGUGCGCAGGCGGUUUUGUAAGACGGAUGUGAAAUCCCCGGGCUUAACCUGGGAACUGCAUUCGUGACUGCAAGGCUAGAGUAUGGCAGAGGGGGGUUAGAAUUCCACGUGUAGCAGUGAAAUGCGUAGAGAUGUGGAGGAAUACCGAUGGCGAAGGCAGCCCCCUGGGCCAAUACUGACGCUCAUGCACGAAAGCGUGGGGAGCAAACAGGAUUAGAUACCCUGGUAGUCCACGCCCUAAACGAUGUCAACUAGUUGUUGGGGAUUCAUUUCCUAGUAACGUAGCUAACGCGUGAAGUUGACCGCCUGGGGAGUACGGUCGCAAGAUU
Molecule: ribosomal RNA, 547 nt
Filed under: uncultured bacterium
Lineage: Bacteria
Description: partial 16S ribosomal RNA
Rfam family: Bacterial small subunit ribosomal RNA
Source: RNAcentral